RNAcentral lists this ribosomal RNA (253 nucleotides) under uncultured bacterium. Its description in RNAcentral is "partial 16S ribosomal RNA". It matches the Rfam family "Bacterial small subunit ribosomal RNA", at positions 524 to 776 of the family's 1533-position model. The record is from RNAcentral.
UACGGAGGAUCCAAGCGUUAUCCGGAUUCAUUGGGCUUAAAGGGUGCGUAGGCGGCAUGUUAAGUCAGUGGUGAAAUCCUGCAGCUUAACUGCAGAACUGCCAUUGAUACUGUCAAUCUUGAGUACAUUUGAUGAGGGCGGAAUGUGUCAUGUAGCGGUGAAAUGCUUAGAUAUGACACAGAACACCGAUUGCGAAGGCAGCUCUCAAAGCUGUAACUGACGCUGAGGCACGAAAGCGUGGGUAGCAAACAGG